This 497-nucleotide ribosomal RNA is filed under the name uncultured bacterium. RNAcentral's name for it is "partial 16S ribosomal RNA". It matches the Rfam family "Bacterial small subunit ribosomal RNA", at positions 29 to 523 of the family's 1533-position model. The record is from RNAcentral.
UUGAACGCUGGCGGCAGGCCUAACACAUGCAAGUCGAGCGGCAGCGCGGGGCAACCUGGCGGCGAGCGGCGGACGGGUGAGUAACGCGUAGGAAUCUACCCAGUAGCGGGGGAUAGCCCGGGGAAACUCGGAUUAAUACCGCAUACGCCCUAAGGGGGAAAGCAGGGGAUCGUAAGACCUUGCACUAUUGGAAGAGCCGGCGUUGGAUUAGCUAGUUGGUAGGGUAAAGGCCUACCAAGGCGACGAUCCAUAACUGGUCUGAGAGGAUGAUCAGUCACACCGGAACUGAGACACGGUCCGGACUCCUACGGGAGGCAGCAGUGGGGAAUAUUGGACAAUGGGGGCAACCCUGAUCCAGCCAUGCCGCGUGCGUGAAGAAGGCCUUCGGGUUGUAAAGCACUUUAAGUGGGGAGAAAGGUUCGGCAGCUAAUACCUGCCGGAAGUGAUGUUACCCACAGAAUAAGCACCGGCUAACUCUGUGCCAGCCGCCGCCGUAA